This 675-nucleotide ribosomal RNA is filed under the name Vairimorpha ceranae. RNAcentral's name for it is "SSU rRNA". It matches the Rfam family "Microsporidia small subunit ribosomal RNA", at positions 357 to 1067 of the family's 1311-position model. The record is from RNAcentral. Lineage: Eukaryota; Fungi; Microsporidia; Nosematidae.
GUAUAUGAGGUGAUUAAUUGGAGGGCAAAUCAAGUGCCAGCAGCCGCGGUAAUACUUGUUCCAAGAGUGUGUAUGAUGAUUGAUGCAGUUAAAAAGUCCGUAGUUUAUUUUUUUAAGAAGCAAUAUGAGGUGUACUGUAUAGUUGGGAGAAAGAUGAAAUGUGACGACCCUGACUGGACGAACAGAAGCGAAAGCUGUACACUUGUAUGUAUUUUUUGAACAAGGACGUAAGCUGGAGGAGCGAAGAUGAUUAGAUACCAUUGUAGUUCCAGCAGUAAACUAUGCCGACGAUGUGAUAUGGAAAAUAUUAAUUUGUAUUACAUAAUAGAAAUUUGAGUUUUUUGGCUCUGGGGAUAGUAUGAUCGCAAGAUUGAAAAUUAAAGAAAUUGACGGAAGAAUACCACAAGGAGUGGAUUGUGCGGCUUAAUUUGACUCAACGCGAGGUAACCUACCAAUAUUUUAUUAUUUUGAGAGAACGGUUUUUUGUUUGAGAAUGAUAAUAGUGGUGCAUGGCCGUUUUCAAUGGAUGCUGUGAAGUUUUGAUUAAUUUCAACAAGACGUGAGACCCUUAUUUUUUAUUAAAGACAGACACAAUCAGUGUAGGAAGGAAGGGAUUAAAACAGGUCCGUUAUGCCCUCUGACAUUUUGGGCUGCACGCGCAAUACAAUAGAUAUA